This 1376-nucleotide long non-coding RNA is filed under the name Equus asinus (donkey). RNAcentral describes it as "lncRNA (ENSEASG00005027436.1)". The record is from RNAcentral. Lineage: Eukaryota; Metazoa; Chordata; Mammalia; Perissodactyla; Equidae.
GGCUGAUUCAUUCUGUAUUGGAGAGGGGCAGAGAAAGAGAAGGUCAGGACGUCUAUUCAUAGUGGAGUGUGACAUUUUGAUCAAGAAGACAGAAUCAGUUAUUGCCCGGCCUCAUCUCUCAUUGUUUGUGUCAGUAAUUUGAAAGGUGUGGUCUGAUUUCAGCAGAAGCCCCUUUAUUUAAAAAUAUCGUUCUUUCCCAUUGCCCUGUGGAAGAGCUUAAAAUUCCACCAUUACAAUUCAUUGGCUUGAAUUAAGUUUUAAUACUCCACUAAAAUGUGAAGGCCCCUGGGGAGAGUGUAUUAAUCGAGUAUCACUCCUUACUGCCUUAGUGUGAGUCGGUUUAUCACAUUCCCCUCAAAGGAGAUGGUGAGAGGAGAACAACUCCACACCUCAACACGGAAAAGGACAAAAGCAUCAGGGGCCGAGGGAGAAUGGUGGACUCAUUCAUCCCUAUUGAGCCUCCAGGGGGAGGAGCAUCCAGAGGCCUGGAGCCAAGGAGGCUGGAGAAAGAGCCCAGGUUCGGUUCCUGGGCGUGGACCUACACCGCUUGUUUGUUGGUGGCCGUGAUGUGGCGGCUCACACAUAAAAAGAGGAAGAUUGGCAACAGAUGUUAGCUCAGGGUGAGUCUUCCUCCGAAAAACAAAAAUAUACAUAUUUAAAACAAACAAAAUAACCUGAAAUCUACUUUUAUUCACCAUUAUUUUGUUAAAAAGAUAGGGCAUUUUUACCAGCAAAAAUUAAGGAGGGGUUUAACAUUAUAAUAAAAGACAGUCCUUUAAACUGAAUGUAAUUUGCUUGUGAAAAACUCCCAAUUUGUCUGUGUCUCAUUUGGCUGUGGACCAGUAGAAACUUACCCUCAGACUGGCACUGUCCAUGCUGGGGCACUUGGAAGCCACAUUUCCAGGGAUCAAGGCUGUCUAGGGAAAAGAGACCUGUGCCUACAGAGACAAAUGACACCUGCAUAUCAAGAGGUGGGGUGGUGGCACUCUGUGGGAGGAAGUGAGGCAUGCUCCUUCUAACCACUCCGCUCCUACAUAAACCGCUGGGGCCCAGGCAAAUGCCACCUGCUCUAGGGACCUUCCCUCAUGGCCUCAGGUCAAAACUCGAUGGGUCCUUUCUCUCUGUUCUCACUGAGCAUUGCCUGGAACCCCACGUAGCAACCAGCUAAUCCUGCUUUAUACGGUAGCAGGUUUGUCAGCCUGUCCUUCUCUUUGGGUAGACUGUAAGAUCUUUGAGAGCAGGGGUGGUUUCUUUCUUUCUUUCUUUCUUUUUUUCUUUAACUUUUUAUUAAGAUUAUGAUAGUUUACAACCUUGUGAAAUUUCAGGUGUACAUUAUUGUUAGUCAUGUUGUAGGUGCGCCACUUCACCCUUUGUGC